AACGACCGGUCGGACACGCGUGCGUCCCAGCAGGCGGGCCCGGCCCACAAGUGGAGACUCCGAGCUCCCACCCGACUGUCCUCCAGGACGGCGGGUCACCCCGGUCAGGCGGCCACCAUCGUUCCGUACGGACGAUGGAGUCGCCCGGUAGUGCGCCCCGCGAUCCUUGCGGCGGUGCUCCGGUAGUGCUUGGAGCCCCGCAUGUGAUCGUUCGGGGCAUUUUUU
RNAcentral lists this non-coding RNA (225 nucleotides) under Streptomyces sp. 3214.6. RNAcentral's name for it is "Streptomyces RNA 1601". It matches the Rfam family "Streptomyces RNA 1601". From Rfam's summary of the family: Identified by deep sequencing of transcriptome at the end of exponential growth phase. Appears longer on northern blot than sequencing transcript. Lineage: Bacteria; Bacillati; Actinomycetota; Actinomycetes; Kitasatosporales; Streptomycetaceae. The record is from Rfam by way of RNAcentral.